UCGCAGUUAGUGAUGCUCUUAUUCAAGUGGUUUUGGUUUGGCUGCCUCUGACACUUUAUUCCAUGUUGCCUAAUAGUUUUAAAAGCCCCUAUUUUAUAGUCAGUGCAUCUUUCUGUGGGUCCCCAGAGAAGGGAAGACUGUGAGGUAAGGGAAAUACAGUUUCUUCCCUCCUCCCUCUCUCUCCUCCUCCUUUCAUGCCCUUCUGGGCUCUCUGACAAGGGCUGUUGUGGGCGGGGGAGCUCGCAGCGUUUGAGGCUUUAGUUUUAAAUUCUGUUCAGGUUUUCCUCUAAGUACUGCUCUUCACUGUGUCUGCUCAUAACUGAGUCUCCCCACUUUCCUGGCUCUGCUUAUUCUUAGAGCUCAAAGGCCCCUAGGAUCACUUCUUCUGCCCCAGCCAAACUCAGCUCUCCCCUCCAUUUUGAUGUACCAGAAACAACUUUCGGUCCACAAGAAACAGUGGGUUUGUUUGGCAAGUCCCAGGACACUGGGGUAUGGCCUGGCAAUCAGACCCUGCUGGGCUGGGCUGUGAGUGGCAUGUGAAUGUGAACGCUCCUACCAUGAGCGGCAUCAGGCUGUGUCCUGCUCCUUCCCCUUCUUUCCUUUGUAUAUAGUGAUCCCUGUCCCUGGAACUCUUCUCUCAUUCCUGCCUACUGCCUCUAUUUUCACCUAGCCAACUCCUUUCUUCAAAUGUUUCCUCCUAUAGAAGUCUUUGGGGGUUAGGUAGUGUUAUGGACUGAAAUGUUUCCUCUGCUCCCAAAUCCAUAUAUUGAAAUCCUAAACCCCAGUUUUCAGAAUGUGGCUUUAUUUAGAGAUAGGUUCUUUUCAAAGGUAGUCAAGCUAAAAUGAGGUCAUUAAGGUGGGCUGUAAUCCAACAUGACUGGUGUCCUUAUAAAAAGAGAAAAGUGAACACAGAGCCGUGCAGAGGAAAGAUGAUACAAGGAGACACAGGGAAAAGACAGCCAUCAACAAGCCAAGGAGUGAGUCUCUCACAGCCCUCAGGAGGAGCUAGCUCUGCCAACACCUUGAUCUUGGACUUCUAGCCUCUAGAACUGUAAGAAAAUAAAUGUCUGUUGUUUAAAUCGCCCCACCCAUGGUAUUUUAUUAUGGCAGCCCGAGCUGUUGCACUUAGCCUCUCUGAGCUUCAGUUUCUUCAUGUAUUGACUAGGGGUGAUAAUUUCUAUUUUAUGGGUGGAUGUGAGGAUUGAAUGAGAUGAUAUAUAUGAACAUCCCUGGAUAGAUGGCUGUUCUGUGCACAGGGACAGGCAGGGCAUGUCUGCACAGCAAGUGGGGACUGAAGCCAAUUUGGGACUUAUUGAUCAUCAGGUGCCUAUGGGACAUCCAGGAAGACACUCUAGUAGCAAUGGCACAUACAGUGCUGGAUCAUAAUGCCUGGUUAUGGCAAAAAGACCGCAAUUCCCACCAGAGAGCAAAAAGGAAGUAAAGCUACCAUUGUUGAUCUGAAACUAAAUGGAUUCUUGUCCGUUGUGAGGAGCAGCAGCCUACAAAGCACACUGAAUGCCAAAUGUGUUGCACCAGGGCUACAGGGAGUCGACUGCUCACAGAAAGCAAGCAUUCUGUUCUAAUUCUGUGCUGUAAGCUUUGCAAUAAGAGGCUCCAUAUGAGAAGGCUGGUGGUUGCCCAGCUGGGCUUAUGACAGACACACCCAGAUGUUUUUAAUCUAUGCAAAAUAAUGAUGGAUACUUGCUACCUUCUUCAACUAAUUUUCAAGAUGUAUUUAUAUAAAAUAAAAGAGUCUUUUAAAGCACAACUUUUUUCAAAUGUAUUUGUUACUGCACCUUUUGCCCUGGAAAAUUAUUUUUCUAUUUUUAUUUUUAUUUUUUGAGACAGGGUCUCACUCUGUCACCCAGGUUGGAGUGCAGUGGUGUGAUCACAGAUCACUGCAGCCUCGACCCCCACAGGCUCAAGUGAUCCUCCCACCUCAGGCCCCUGAGUAGCUGGGACUACAGGCAUGCACCACUAUACCAGCUGAUUUUUAAAACUUUUUGUAGAGACAGAAUCUCACUACAUUGCCCAAGCUAGUCUCAAACUUCUGGUCUCGAGCCACCCUCCCACCUCAGCCUCCCAAUGUGCUGGGAUUACAGGCAUACGCCACCACACCCAGCCUUAUUAUUUUGCUCUUUAGAGAUAAGAUAUCCAAACUUCAAAAAUAUUGUUAAUUUGGUACAAGUUAAAUCUCAGAAAUUUUGGAAACAAUCGCCUUCUGUAAUAUAUGUAAAAUAUUAUACACAGUGUCUGGCAUACAGUUAGUGCUAAAUAAAAGUUUUUC
RNAcentral lists this long non-coding RNA (2287 nucleotides) under Homo sapiens (human). RNAcentral's name for it is "HSALNT0064047". Lineage: Eukaryota; Metazoa; Chordata; Mammalia; Primates; Hominidae. The record is from RNAcentral.